UCCUCAGGCCUUACUCAACAUACAAUAAU
RNAcentral lists this non-coding RNA (29 nucleotides) under Homo sapiens (human). The record is from RNAcentral. Lineage: Eukaryota; Metazoa; Chordata; Mammalia; Primates; Hominidae.